RNAcentral lists this long non-coding RNA (771 nucleotides) under Ananas comosus (pineapple). RNAcentral describes it as "long non-coding RNA (ACOM_LNC010450)". Lineage: Eukaryota; Viridiplantae; Streptophyta; Magnoliopsida; Poales; Bromeliaceae. The record is from RNAcentral.
AUUUAAAAUAUAUUUUAUUUAGUGUGUUGCUACUAUAAAUGUUGGAUAUUGAAUGAAAUGAAAUAUUUUGACAUAUGUUAUGUUUUUUUUUAUGAUAUCAAAAUAUUGUUAAGUUUUAUUUUUUUUUUUUUGAGAGAGAGAGAGAGAUAUAUAGCAUGCUACCCGCUUCAUUUAUUUCAUUUAGAAAUAAACUUAGCUGGAAAUGUGAAUAAACUAGGAUUCGAACUUGCGACCUCGGGUACCAACCAAGUCCUUUGUCACUUGCACUAUAUAAUUGGUUUGCUUAUUAUAGAAAAAUAUAAUAUUUUAUUUAUAUUAAGACUAUUUGAUUGUCAAUGAUUUAUAAUUUUCAAUUUUUAAACGCGGUCUAAAAUAAUUAUUUUAAUAAAAUUUUAAUACUAAUUUUCACAUAGAAACGGUUUAAACCGUCUCUAUAUAAUAACAUGUUAUAGAGACGGUUUGAACAGCCUCUACAGAAUAAGAAAAAUAAUUUUGUAGAGGCGGUUUGAACCGCUUCUAUAUUAUAAUAAGAUGAAUAAAAAAUUAUUAAAUAAAAUGAAAAAAUUAGUUGAGCUGGUUUGAACCACAUUUAUAAGACCGCCUAUAGAGACAGCGUCUACGCCAGCGGUUUAGAGGCGGUUGUUAAAACUGCCUCUACGGUUUGCGAUUUAAAUCGCCCCUACGAUAAUUAAAAAUCGUCUCUACGACCGUUUUGUUUUGUACUGAAUAUUCAUAUAUUCAAAUAGAUCAAUCUUAAUCAUGCAACUCUAU